This 466-nucleotide ribosomal RNA is filed under the name uncultured bacterium. Its description in RNAcentral is "partial 16S ribosomal RNA". It matches the Rfam family "Bacterial small subunit ribosomal RNA", at positions 28 to 507 of the family's 1533-position model. The record is from RNAcentral.
GAUGAACGCUGGCGGCGUGCUUAACACAUGCAAGUCGAACGGAAAGGCUCCUGCUUGCCGGGGUACUCGAGUGGCGAACGGGUGAGUAACACGUGGGUGAUCUGCCCUGCACUUCGGGAUAAGCCUGGGAAACUGGGUCUAAUACCGGAUAGGACGAUGGUUUGGAUGCCAUUGUGGAAAGUUUUUCGGUGUGGGAUGAGCUCGCGGCCUAUCAGCUUGUUGGUGGGGUAAUGGCCUACCAAGGCGUCGACGGGUAGCCGGCCUGAGAGGGUGUACGGCCACAUUGGGACUGGGAUACGGCCCAGACUCCUACGGGAGGCAGCAGGGGGGAAUAUUGCACAAUGGGCGCAAGCCUGAUGCAGCGACGCCGCGUGGGGGAUGACGGCCUUCGGGUUGUAAACUCCUUUCGCUAGGGACGAAGCGUUUUGUGACGGUACCUGGAGAAGAAGCACCGGCUAACUACGUG